CACAAUCCACUGCCUUGAUCCACUUGGCUACAUCCGC
Molecule: transfer RNA, 37 nt
Filed under: Angelica sinensis (Chinese angelica)
Lineage: Eukaryota; Viridiplantae; Streptophyta; Magnoliopsida; Apiales; Apiaceae
Description: partial tRNA-His
Source: RNAcentral